AAUGGGGGCAACCCUGAUCCAGCCAUGCCGCGUGAGUGAUGAAGGCCUUAGGGUCGUAAAGCUCUUUCGCCUGUGAAGAUAACGACGGUAGCAGGUAAAGAAACCCCGGCUAACUCCGUGCCAGCAGCCGCGGUAAUACGGAGGGGGUUAGCGUUGUUCGGAAUUACUGGGCGUAAAGCGCACGUAGGCGGACUGGAAAGUUGGGGGUGAAAUCCCAGGGCUCAACCCUGGAACUGCCUCCAAAACUAUCAGUCUAGAGUUCGAGAGAGGUGAGUGGAAUUCCGAGUGUAGAGGUGAAAUUCGUAGAUAUUCGGAGGAACACCAGUGGCGAAGGCGGCUCACUGGCUCGAUACUGACGCUGAGGUGCGAAAGUGUGGGGAGCAAACAGGAUU
This 392-nucleotide ribosomal RNA is filed under the name uncultured Gammaproteobacteria bacterium. Its description in RNAcentral is "bacterial SSU rRNA". It matches the Rfam family "Bacterial small subunit ribosomal RNA", at positions 370 to 779 of the family's 1533-position model. The record is from RNAcentral. Lineage: Bacteria; Pseudomonadati; Pseudomonadota; Gammaproteobacteria.